RNAcentral lists this ribosomal RNA (327 nucleotides) under uncultured eukaryote. Its description in RNAcentral is "partial 18S ribosomal RNA". It matches the Rfam family "Eukaryotic small subunit ribosomal RNA", at positions 1470 to 1796 of the family's 1831-position model. The record is from RNAcentral.
CCCUUAGAUGUUCUGGGCCGCACGCGCGCUACACUGACGAAUGCAACGAGCUUAUAACCUUGGCCGAAAGGUCUGGGUAAUCUCCAAAUUUCGUCGUGAUGGGGAUAGAUUAUUGCAAUUAUUAAUCUUCAACGAGGAAUGCCUAGUAAGCGCAAGUCAUCAGCUUGCGUUGAUUACGUCCCUGCCCUUUGUACACACCGCCCGUCGCUCCUACCGCUUGAAUGGUCCGGUGAAGCGUUCGGACCGUGGCCUUUGGACGGUUCGCCGUCUGUUGGCUGCGGGAAGUUCGUUAAACCUUAUCAUUUAGAGGAAGGAGAAGUCGUAACA